GCAGCAUUUAGGGGCGUCACAGACUUGGCUGCUGUGUUGCAUUUGUGUCACCGGGCGGCAGGGGGAGGAGAGGCUGUGUCUGCACUCAGGGUUCUGACCCGUGAAUGUUCGAAUGAUUGAUAGUCUGACGCU
Molecule: small nucleolar RNA, 132 nt
Filed under: Propithecus coquereli (Coquerel's sifaka)
Lineage: Eukaryota; Metazoa; Chordata; Mammalia; Primates; Indriidae
Description: Small nucleolar RNA SNORA17 (ENSPCOG00000001811.1)
Rfam family: Small nucleolar RNA SNORA17
About the family: snoRNA ACA 17 belongs to the H/ACA family of snoRNAs and is predicted to guide pseudouridylation of the 28S rRNA at positions U4659 and U4598. It shares the same host gene together with ACA43.
Source: Rfam by way of RNAcentral